Molecule: small RNA, 303 nt
Filed under: Vigna angularis var. angularis
Lineage: Eukaryota; Viridiplantae; Streptophyta; Magnoliopsida; Fabales; Fabaceae
Description: Non-protein coding transcript
Source: RNAcentral
UUCAGUUUGAACCGAACGUUUUUCCAUUCCGACCGGUGCUGUUAAACUCGCCUCUGUGAGGAGGUACUGCUAGAGCGUUCCUAGGAGUGGUACUGUUAAGCUUUCCAGAGGAAGAUGAGGUUUCUUUGGAGGCAACAUUGGAGAGAAAUAAAAAUGAUGCUGGAGCUUAGACUUACUAGGAAUUCUUAGUUCUCUUAUGUCAUUUUGAAGAACCUUGUUAUGUUUUAAGUUUCAAAUUUUGGACAUAUUUUAGAAUACUCUAGUGCUUGAAGUUUUAAUUUUUUAGUAAAUUCUGGAAGACUG